AGUGUAAGGGACACUCUCAGAAAAGGUGUAAAGCAGUUGCUUCUCUUGUUCCUUCAUAGGUGAUGUUUCUACUAUGGAAGAUCAAAGAUAAAAUAUACUCCUACCCUUAGGUUUCUAAACAAUGCAAGUGUUCGAGAGAAAUGGCAGCAGAGUUGGGAAAGCGUUCCUGGUCUUGUAUGAGUAUUCUGAUUACUUCUUCUAUAGCCUGGCUUUUAAUUUUUGAGUGUAAGAUACACUCUCAGAAAAGGUGUAAAGCAGUUGCUUCUUUUGUUCCUUCAUAGGUGAUGUUUCUACUAUGGAAGAUCAAAGAUAAAAUAUACUCCUACCCUUAGGUUUCUAAACAAUGCAAGUGUUCGAGAGAAAUGGCAGCAGAGUUGGGAAAUCCUUCCUGGUCUUGUAUGAGUAUUCUGAUUACUUCUUCUAUAGCCUGGCUUUUAAUUUUUGAGUGUAAGAUACACUCUCAGAAAAGGUGUAAAGCAGUUGCUUCUCUUGUUCCUUCAUAGGUGAUGUUUCUACUAUGGAAUAUCAAAGAUAAAAUAUACUCCUGCCCUUUGGUUUCUAAACGAUGCAAGUGCUCGAGAGAAAUGGCAGCAGAGUUGUGAGAGCCUUCCUGGUCUUGUAUGAGUAUUCUGAUUACUUCUUCUAUAGCAUGGCUUUUAAUUUUUGAGUGUAAGAUACACUCUCAGAAAAGGUGUAAAGCGGUUGCUUCUCUUGUUCCUUCAUAGGUGAUGUUUCUACUAUGGAAGAUCAAAGAUAAAAUAUACUCCUGCCCUUAGCUUUCUAAACAAUGCAAGUGUUCGAGAGAAAUGGCAGCAGAGUUGGGAAAUCCUUCCUGGUCUUCUAUGAGUAUUCUGAUUACUUCUUCUAUAGCCUGGGUUUUAAUUUUUGAGUGUAAGAUACACUCUCAGAAAAGGUGUAAAGCAGUUGCUUCUCUUGUUCCUUCAUAGGUGAUGUUUCUACUAUGGAAUAUCAAAGAUAAAAUAUACUCCUGCCCUUUGGUUUCUAAACGAUGCAAGUGCUCGAGAGAAAUGGCAGCAGAGUUGUGAGAGCCUUCCUGGUCUUGUAUGAGUAUUCUGAUUACUUCUUCUAUAGCCUGGCUUUUAAUUUUUGAGUGUAAGAUACACUCUCAGAAAAGGUGUAAAGCAGUUGCUUCUCUUGUUCCUUCAUAGGUGAUGUUUCUACUAUGGAAUAUCAAAGAUAAAAUAUACUCCUGCCCUUUGGUUUCUAAACGAUGCAAGUGCUCGAGAGAAAUGGCAGCAGAGUUGUGAGAGCCUUCCUGGUCUUGUAUGAGUAUUCUGAUUACUUCUUCUAUAGCAUGGCUUUUAAUUUUUGAGUGUAAGAUACACUCUCAGAAAAGGUGUAAAGCGGUUGCUUCUCUUGUUCCUUCAUAGGUGAUGUUUCUACUAUGGAAGAUCAAAGAUAAAAUAUACUCCUGCCCUUAGCUUUCUAAACAAUGCAAGUGUUCGAGAGAAAUGGCAGCAGAGUUGGGAAAUCCUUCCUGGUCUUCUAUGAGUAUUCUGAUUACUUCUUCUAUAGCCUGGGUUUUAAUUUUUGAGUGUAAGAUACACUCUCAGAAAAGGUGUAAAGCAGUUGCUUCUCUUGUUCCUUCAUAGGUGAUGUUUCUACUAUGGAAGAUCAAAGAUAAAAUAUACUCCUGCCCUUUGGUUUCUAAACAAUGCAAGUGCUCGAGAGAAAUGGCAGCAGAGUUGUGAGAGCCUUCCUGGUCUUGUAUGAGUAUUCUGAUUACUGCUUCUAUAGCCUGGCAUUUAAUUUUGAGUGUAACACACAUCCUAAGAAAGUAUGUAAAGUGGUUGCUCUUCUUGUUUCUCAGAGCUGUCUCCUAUGUAAUCUUAAAGAUAACAAAAUAUCCUCUGCUCUUAGGUUUCUAAAUAUGCAAAUUCUCCUGAGAAAUGGCAGUCUAGUUGCAACAGCCUUCCUCGUUUUUCUUUUUACGUAUUCUGAUUGCGUCUUUUAUAGCCUGGUUUUUAAUUUUUUUGUGUAACACGCAUCUCUGAAAACAUGUAAAACAAUUGCUUCUCUUGUCCAUGUAUGAACUAUGUGCUGUCUUUUACGGAAGCUCAAAGAUGUCAAAAUAUCCUUCUGGCGCUUAGGUUUCUAAAUUGUGCGCGUUCUAUAGAAAAAUGAUAGAGUUGGGAAAGCCUUCCUGGUUUUCUUCUAUGAGGAUUUUGAUUACUUCUUUUACAGCCGUUUUUUAGUGGGCCUUACUGUGUCAUGCACCAGCAGCAGCACCUUCCUGAACCACACGCCCCAGCGGGUCUACGGUCCACCAGGGGUCCAGGAACCCUGCCUUCCCACUGGCCUUCCAAAUGGGUGCUCCUCUUUUUUUCUUUGGACGAACCCGGACAAGAUGUGCUGUCUACCGCUGUCUACUGUUGCACCGGGGACCCGUAGGGAAGUCACAGUUCUAUUGUCGGCCUCCAACUCCUUCGCGAUGGUCCAACCCCGGACUUCCCUCACCACAACCCUUCGACAUCACUGCUUACGCUCCGGUCGCAGUACAUUCGACUCUUUCGUCUUCGAACCCCUAUAGCUCCAGCAUUCCUUGCGAUCCGCCCGGUCCACUUCGCUCUUCCCCCGGUCACCGCCAUGCUGCUGUUGCGCCCACAGCCCUCACUAAUUGUGCCCAUCCGUACCUCAUCCACGUGUCAUCAUUCUCCUUUUCUAGGUAUUGAUGCAGACCUCAACCGCAAGCAACGCUUCGAGUCUCCGGGGAGAAGUGGUGUUGCACGGUAUCGCUGGACGACAACAAAGCACGACUGCCACUGUACGCCGUCGCAGAGAGAUUUCAAUUCUGUCGUCGCAAUGUUGGGGUACGUGCCCUCUAGGAGCUGUAAGAUGAUGUUCAGCCGUUCUUACCAGUUUGAGGGCUCCUCGGUGGUUUCAAAAACCAGAACAGCGCUUGGACUGACUGGACGGCAACGCUCAACGACGUCGGAACCUUGGACACCGUCUGGUUUAACCUACCUGGGAACCUUCUGCCUGUGUCGAUUGCGCGCGAAUCGGUUGAAGCAGGGAAGAUGGACAGCUGUAGCAGCCACUCCGGACAUCACGGAUAUCACGGAAUGCGCAUAACGAAGUCAGCACUUCUGAAGUGUUGAGAAGCCACAUAACAAUCGCGCUCACAGGCACACACAGUACACCCUAUUAAAGGAGGCACACACACACACACACACACACCAUACACCUUAUUAAAGGAGCACAAGCAACAUGGGGGGGGGGAUUUAUUUGCAUUUAUUUGCAUUUAGUGACUUUGGCUUGCACGAUUGUCGGUGGACCUGAGGUGCUUUCUGCUCCUUCAUGGAGGACGGCACGACAACUGGUUACCCCUGCGGAGGGGGAAGGAGGUAAGGGGCGUAGUCGUAAUGGAUAAGUGAAUCGAAAGGAUUCGAAAAGAAAUCGAAAGAAGUCCGGCGUUGCUCUGGCUGUCGUUCCAGGGUAUGUUGAGAGGUGCGCAUCCGCUCAAUUGUCACGUGGUGGCUCGUAUCUCCUGUUCGUCGAGAUUGGGUCGUUCGUUGUGUGCUGGACUGCGAUGGUUCUUUCCAUCUCUUGGCUUCUUGGGGGAUGACACUCAAUCUGCGGAGGUGUAAGGGACGAAUGUUAGUAUUUGAGUUGGAGAAUCAAAUCGAAAGGAUUCUGAUGUUGCGGUCCUUCCAUCGCUUGAGAGGUAUGCACAUGUGAAUUUUUCCGUUACUGCUGAUGUGUCUGCUGAUGGACGUGGUUAACCGCGUGUGCUGAAGCCGCGAGUGUUCUUAAAAGGGUUUCGCGGAGAUGUGGCUUCUGUCGUUCUAUGUGGGGGUUUUGCGUGCUCUGAGGGACAUGACCGCGCAGACACGAUGCAUAGCCGGUGUAUAGGCGACUUAUAUCUAUAGCUCUUACGGUUUGAGUGGUUGCUGUAUGGGUUUGUGCAAUGUUAAAUCACAAAUAAGCAAUUUAGUAAGAGACCGCUAGGAUGUCCUGUAUGUGCCCCUGAAUGUAUUCUUGUAAGUUAGUUAUUCUAGUAAGUUAUAAUUGUAAGUUCUGGAAAUAAAAGGUAUGCUAACGUG
This is a long non-coding RNA of Ornithodoros turicata, 4064 nucleotides long. RefSeq lists it as uncharacterized. NCBI's taxonomy places the organism in Eukaryota, Metazoa, Arthropoda, Arachnida, Ixodida, Argasidae. The transcript is spliced from 3 exons. The record is from RefSeq and is a predicted model, not a curated record.